ACCGCGCGGUCUCUAAUUCGCUUGGUGCAGGUCGGGAACCGCUGCUGCUACUGCGAUUUUCGCGCGUAAUGAGGGAGCGGUCGCCGGCGGCAAAUUGGAUCCCGCCUUGCAUCAACUGAAUCGGAGACCGCUGUGGU
RNAcentral lists this microRNA precursor (137 nucleotides) under Ammopiptanthus mongolicus. Its description in RNAcentral is "precursor microRNA". It matches the Rfam family "MIR168 microRNA precursor family". The record is from RNAcentral. Lineage: Eukaryota; Viridiplantae; Streptophyta; Magnoliopsida; Fabales; Fabaceae.